AGAACUCAGAGCAGCCUGGGCGCUGCUAAGGAGCUGGGAGGGGUGCCUCAUCACAACUCCUUCAGGCCUGCCUUUUGUUUACUGAAGACCUACUAUGUGCCAGUCUCUCAGCUGAACACUUUAUGCCCAAGGAUCAGCCAUGGGAAGAGUUAGACAGUUCCAGACAAAACCAAGCGUGACUGCUUCGGAGGAGCAUGGGGGUGAGACAAACCUACUAUUUUAAGGCAGCUACAGGAGCU
Molecule: long non-coding RNA, 239 nt
Organism: Orcinus orca (killer whale)
Lineage: Eukaryota; Metazoa; Chordata; Mammalia; Artiodactyla; Delphinidae
Exons: 3
Source: RefSeq, a predicted model, not a curated record